GACGAACGCUGGCGGCGUGCCUAAUACAUGCCAGUCGAGCGAAGUUUUUCUGGUGCUUGCACUAGAAAAACUUAGCGGCGAACGGGUGAGUAACACGUAAAGAACCUGCCUCAUAGACUGGGACAACUAUUGGAAACGAUAGCUAAUACCGGAUAACAGUAUUUCUCGCAUGAGAGAUAUUUAAAAGUUGGUUAUGCUAACACUAUGAGAUUGCUUUGCGGUGCAGUGGAUGGUUGGUUGGGUAAAGGCCCACCAAGGCGACGAUGCAUAGCCGACCUGAGAGAGUGAUCGGCCACACUGGAACUGAGACACGGCCCAGACGCCUACGGGAGGCAGCAGUAGGGAAUCUUCCGCAAUGGGCGGAAGCCUGACGGAGCAACGCCGCGUGAGUGAAGAAGGAUUUCGGUUCGUAAAGCUCGGUUGUUAGGGAAGAAUGGAUAUGUAGUAACUAUACAUGUAAGAGACGGUACCUAACAAGAAAGCCACGGCUAACUACGUG
This 499-nucleotide ribosomal RNA is filed under the name uncultured bacterium. RNAcentral describes it as "partial 16S ribosomal RNA". It matches the Rfam family "Bacterial small subunit ribosomal RNA", at positions 28 to 507 of the family's 1533-position model. The record is from RNAcentral.